UGGGAUGGGUGUGACCAAGGGUGUAAAUGGGUGCUGAAAGCUUGUUGCCUUUGUCUGGGAUCGAAACCCAUCAGCUUAGUCUCAGAUUGAAACCUUGUCACUGGCGUGUAGGAAUCUGAGACACGGCGCACUCGAGGGUCAAAACUUGCCUUGUCAUUUGUUUUGUAAGCAUCUCCUGAAACUCUUACAGCCUUAUGACUGUUACACCCCAACAAAAUGCUGGAGCGGCGCCCUGGGGUGUCUUUGCU
Molecule: unclassified non-coding RNA, 248 nt
Filed under: Hevea brasiliensis (rubber tree)
Lineage: Eukaryota; Viridiplantae; Streptophyta; Magnoliopsida; Malpighiales; Euphorbiaceae
Source: RNAcentral